Molecule: ribosomal RNA, 501 nt
Filed under: uncultured bacterium
Lineage: Bacteria
Description: partial 16S ribosomal RNA
Rfam family: Bacterial small subunit ribosomal RNA
Source: RNAcentral
AUUGAACGCUGGCGGAAUGCUUUACACAUGCAAGUCGAACGGCAGCACGGGGGCAACCCUGGUGGCGAGUGGCGAACGGGUGAGUAAUACAUCGGAACGUGCCCAUGUCGUGGGGGAUAACGUAGCGAAAGCUACGCUAAUACCGCAUACGAUCUACGGAUGAAAGCGGGGGACCGUAAGGCCUCGCGCGAUUGGAGCGGCCGAUGGCAGAUUAGGUAGUUGGUGGGGUAAAGGCUCACCAAGCCUGCGAUCUGUAGCUGGUCUGAGCGGACGACCAGCCACACUGAGACUGAGACACGGCCGAGACUCCUACGGGAGGCAGCAGUGGGGAAUUUUGGACAAUGGGCGCAAGCCUGAUCCAGCCAUUCCGCGUGCAGGAUGAAGGCCUUCGGGUUGUAAACUGCUUUUGUACGGAACGAAAAGACUCUCUCUAAUACAGGGGGUUCAUGACGGUACCGUAAGAAUAAGCACCGGCUAACUACGUGCCAGCCGCCGCCGUAA